AGUCAAGUGAAUAAGUGCAUCAGGUGGAUGCCUUGGCGAUGAUAGGCGACGAAGGACGUGUAAGCCUGCGAAAAGCAUCGGGGAGCUGGCAAUAAAGCUAUGAUCCGGUGAUGUCCGAAUGGGGAAACCCACCUCUUAGGAGGUAUCCUUGUCCGAAUACAUAGGGCAAGAGAAGCGAACCCGGAGAACUGAACCAUCUAAGUACCCGGAGGAAAAGAAAUCAACCGAGAUUCCGCAAGUAGUGGCGAGCGAACGCGGAGGAGCCUGUAUACGAUAGCCGAACUGUUAGAAGAAAGAAUUGGAAACUUCUGCCAUAGCGGGUGAUAGCCCCGUAUUCGAAAACAGAUUGGUGGUACUAGGUAUACGACAAGUAGGGCGGGACACGUGAAAUCCUGUCUGAAGAUGGGGGGACCAUCCUCCAAGGCUAAAUACUCAUCAUCGACCGAUAGUGAACCAGUACCGUGAGGGAAAGGCGAAAAGAACCCCGGGAGGGGAGUGAAAUA
Terrabacter sp. 28 is the source of this 503-nucleotide non-coding RNA. Lineage: Bacteria; Bacillati; Actinomycetota; Actinomycetes; Micrococcales; Intrasporangiaceae. The record is from Rfam.